Molecule: long non-coding RNA, 529 nt
Organism: Pogoniulus pusillus (Red-fronted tinkerbird)
Lineage: Eukaryota; Metazoa; Chordata; Aves; Piciformes; Lybiidae
Exons: 5
Source: RefSeq, a predicted model, not a curated record
GCCAAACAAUUUAGUUUCCACAGGCAGCUGCCAGUCCAAAGUUACUUUGCCUCUCAUCUUUUAUCACACAGCCUUGUCCUUCUAGGAACUUCUUCCUGCCAAGUGUGCAAGCACAGGAGCCAUAGGGAGCUUCCACUGGAACCAGAACCUGAGGGGAAGGAGUGCAAACACAGAGGCAGGGAAUCCUAAAGAAACAGCUACAGGACUAAAUGAAGGGAAGACUAAGAAGGAAAGGCAGUUUCCUUGGAAGAAUAAAGGGACAAUCCUAAAAUGCAUCUCUCAGAAUGCAGCUUUCAGAAGUCAUGUCCUGUCUGCAGGUGGAAAUGUUUGCAGGGAUCAGGGGAAGCUGCAUAUUAUUUUCUCACCAUUUCUGCACUGCUCUGCUUCACAAAAACGGAUCCCAUCAGGAACGUAUAUGAAUGAAUGGAUGUGGGGAACACCAUUCUGCAAUUUAGAGCAGACAUUGCUGGAGAGGCUGUGCUAGAAAGGAGAGAAAAAUACUGGGAAGGCUGGGAGGAUUUCCAUCAUC